Molecule: ribosomal RNA, 254 nt
Filed under: uncultured bacterium
Lineage: Bacteria
Description: partial 16S ribosomal RNA
Rfam family: Bacterial small subunit ribosomal RNA
Source: RNAcentral
UACAGAGGGGGCAAGCGUUGUUCGGAAUUACUGGGCGUAAAGGGCGCGUAGGCGGCCUUCUAAGUCGAACGUGAAAUCCCCGGGCUCAACCCGGGAACUGCGUCCGAUACUGGAAGGCUUGAAUCCGGGAGAGGGAUGCGGAAUUCCAGGUGUAGCGGUGAAAUGCGUAGAUAUCUGGAGGAACACCGGUGGCGAAGGCGGCAUCCUGGACCGGCAUUGACGCUGAGUGAGCGAAAGCCAGGGGAGCAAACGGG